AAAAACAUCUCUUUAUGUUUAAAUUAUAUAAAGUAUAGCCUGCUCACUGACUAAAAAGUUAAAGAGCCGCGGUAUCCUGACCGUGCGAAGGUAGCAUAAUAAUUAGCCUUUUAAUUGAAGGCUUGUAUGAAUGGUUGAACAAAAAGAAAGCUGUCUCAAUUUUAAAAAUUGAAUUUAACUUUUAAGUGAAAAGGCUUAAAUGUUUUAGAGU
This 211-nucleotide ribosomal RNA is filed under the name Acetes sp. HT-2010NC. RNAcentral's name for it is "partial 16S rRNA". It matches the Rfam family "Archaeal large subunit ribosomal RNA", at positions 1901 to 2143 of the family's 2987-position model. The record is from RNAcentral. Lineage: Eukaryota; Metazoa; Arthropoda; Malacostraca; Decapoda; Sergestidae.